GGGGGCAGCAAUGUCACCGGCGAACGGGUGCGUAACGCGUAUGCAACCUACCUACAUCAGGGGGAUAGCCCUAGGAAACUGGGAUUAACACCGCAUAACAAUAGAGUUGGCAUCAACUUUAUUUGAAAUAUUUAUAGGAUGUAGAUGGGCAUGCGUAGGAUUAGCUAGUUGGUAAGGUAACGGCUUACCAAGGCUACGAUCCUUAGGGGCUCUGAGAGGAGUAUCCCCCACACUGGCACUGAGAUACGGGCCAGACUCCUACGGGAGGCAGCAGUAGGGAAUAUUGGGCAAUGGAGGCAACUCUGACCCAGCCAUGCCGCGUGCAGGAAGACGGUCCUCUGGAUUGUAAACUGCUUUUGAAUGGGAAGAAUGUGCUCCUUGCGAGGGGUAAUGACGGUACCAUUAGAAUAAGCCACGGCUAACUACGUGCCAGCAGCCGCGGUAAUACGUAGGUGGCGAGCGUUAUCCGGAUUUAUUGGGUUUAAAGGGUGCGUAGGCGGCUUAAUAAGUCGGUGGUUAAAAGUAGCAGCUUAACUGUUUUACAUGCCAUCGAUACUGUUGAGCUUGAGAUAUUUGGAGGCAGCUAGAAUUUCCGGUGUAGCGGUGAAAUGCAUAGAUACCGGAAGGAAUACCAAUUGCGAAGGCAGGUUGCUACGAAUAAACUGACGCUGAUGCACGAAAGCGUGGGGAUCAAACAGGAUUAGAUACCCUGGUAGUCCACGCCGUAAACGAUGAUUACUAGUUGUUGGGGUUUAAGCUUCAGUGACCAAGGGAAACCGAUAAGUAAUCCACCUGGGGAGUACGCCGGCAACGGUGAAACUCAAAGGAAUUGACG
This 835-nucleotide ribosomal RNA is filed under the name uncultured Bacteroidota bacterium. RNAcentral's name for it is "bacterial SSU rRNA". It matches the Rfam family "Bacterial small subunit ribosomal RNA", at positions 66 to 915 of the family's 1533-position model. Lineage: Bacteria; Pseudomonadati; Bacteroidota. The record is from RNAcentral.